RNAcentral lists this ribosomal RNA (428 nucleotides) under uncultured bacterium. Its description in RNAcentral is "bacterial SSU rRNA". It matches the Rfam family "Bacterial small subunit ribosomal RNA", at positions 354 to 796 of the family's 1533-position model. The record is from RNAcentral.
GUUAGGAAUAUUGGGCAAUGGAGGAAACUCUGACCCAGCAACGCCGCGUGAAGGAUGAAGGUUUUCGGAUUGUAAACUUCUGAUCUGUGGGAAAAAACAAAUGAUGGUACCACAGGAGAAAGCUCCGGCAAACUACGUGCCAGCAGCCGCGGUAAUACGUAGGGAGCAAGCGUUGUCCGGAAUGACUGGGCGUAAAGGGAGCGUAGGUGGCCUUUUAAGUGAAAUGUGAAAGCCCGGGGCUCAACUCCGGAAUGUCAUUUCAUACUGGAAGGCUGGAGUGCAGGAGAGGUAAGCGGAAUUCCUAGUGUAGCGGUAAAAUGCGUAGAUAUUAGGAAGAACACCAGAGGCGAAGGCGGCUUGCUGGACUGUAACUGACACUGAGGCUCGAAAGCGUGGGGAGCAAACAGGAUUAGAAACCCUAGUAGUCC